Molecule: long non-coding RNA, 737 nt
Organism: Mercenaria mercenaria
Lineage: Eukaryota; Metazoa; Mollusca; Bivalvia; Venerida; Veneridae
Exons: 4
Source: RefSeq, a predicted model, not a curated record
CAUUUAACUAGAGCAUUUUAUUUUCAAGGGAAAUAAUUGUGGUCUGACUGUAUUAUUUUGAAAAUCACAGUUGAGAUUUUUUUUAUGUGUGCACCGGUACAGUUUUGUGGGGAAGCGAAAGUUGCCAUGGAAUUUUGUCUUCUUCUAAAAACAAGUGUCUGAUACAUGUAGUUGCAGUCUGUCUUUGGAAGCUGUAGAAAUAACAAGAAAGGGACUGACAUAGUGUUUUGGUAGGGAAAAGUUUGAGUAUGUACAUGUACAGUUGUUUGACCUGUGUUACCCUGUGGCAGUCCAAGCAGAUGUUACCAUUAUGAAAAAUGCAGGAGAACUUGAAGACAAUGGUUAGUGCAGAAUGGACAUAAAAGUUAUGAUAAAAGUAACAGAUAUAAAUAAGGUAAACUAUUGUGAUAAAAAGACAUGGCCAGUGCUGCACAUCACAAAGGCAAUAUUUGAAUUUAAUUUUUUGUCACUUAUGAGUUCUGUAAAGCUGAUUUUGCAAUAUAUAUAAAAUGAUUAGGAUUAUUUUUUUUACUGUGAUCAUUUUUUCACAUGAUUUUGUCAAGACUGACAAUUUGUUCAUUGGAAUAAGAUAAUUAAAGGCGGCAUUGUGUCACAUAAAAAUAUGUCUGCAUAGUUGCCUAACAUUAAAUGUCAAAUUGUAAACAAGGAAAUUCUAAAUUGGAAAAUCCUUUGUUGUUUUUCUUCAUUUAGCUCAGUUGAAGGAGAUGAAGUUUGAA